AUGACAGAGUCAGAUGCAACAGUGAAAGUUGAGGCCUGGAAAGAGGAUCUAGUGGAGAUUGAUAAACUGGAAGAAGUUUGGGUGCAGGUGAGAGGACUGAUGCCUAAAUGGUGUGAGUGGGCUGUCAUUGAUCAGUGUGUUUCUUCCUUUGGUCCGCUAAUAGAGAUGGACUGGCAGGGGAUGCUGCAGAGUCUGUUUGAGUGUGUUAGAGCAAAAAUUCAGUGUAGGAACCCAGCUAAAAUCCCCACUGAAAGGCUGUUUGAAGUGGAUGGAAAAAUCUUUAAGGUCCAAAUUGUUGUAGAAGUGGUUUCCAAGGAUGAGGGGGAGAAGGAGAAAGAGAAGUUUGAUUUUGAUGAGGAUAGGAGCAAAAGCAGCAAUGGGGAGGAGAACAUGCAGACCGAUGGGGGUGGGGAUCUGAGUAAUGGAGCUAAUCAGAGUAAAGGAAAUGUGAAAGGUAGUCAGGAAGAUCCUAAGACAGCUACUGGGGGUAGUGGUCAGCAUAGAAAGAGGGAUGUGUCUGUGGUUGAAUUUGUAGAACAACAGGAGAUGCAGAAUUGUGAUCUUGGCCUGGAUGGAAAUGACAUAGUGACAGGUGCUGGGCAGGGGAAAGAUACUACUACUUUUGUCUUUGUGAAAUGCAGUUGCUUAGGGACCUAG
RNAcentral lists this ribosomal RNA (657 nucleotides) under Triticum aestivum (bread wheat). RNAcentral's name for it is "partial small subunit ribosomal RNA". Lineage: Eukaryota; Viridiplantae; Streptophyta; Magnoliopsida; Poales; Poaceae. The record is from RNAcentral.